RNAcentral lists this ribosomal RNA (292 nucleotides) under uncultured bacterium. RNAcentral describes it as "partial 16S ribosomal RNA". It matches the Rfam family "Bacterial small subunit ribosomal RNA", at positions 334 to 620 of the family's 1533-position model. The record is from RNAcentral.
GACCUACGGGAGGCAGCAGUAGGGAAUCUUCCACAAUGGGCGAAAGCCUGAUGGAGCAACGCCGCGUGGGUGAAGAAGGUCUUCGGAUCGUAAAACCCUGUUGUUAGAGAAGAAAGUGCGUGAGAGUAACUGUUCACGUUUCGACGGUAUCUAACCAGAAAGCCACGGCUAACUACGUGCCAGCAGCCGCGGUAAUACGUAGGUGGCAAGCGUUAUCCGGAUUUAUUGGGCGUAAAGGGAACGCAGGCGGCAUUUUAAGUCUGAUGUGAAAGCAUUCGGCUUAACCGGAGUA